Notothenia coriiceps (black rockcod) is the source of this 400-nucleotide long non-coding RNA. RefSeq lists it as uncharacterized. The transcript has 3 exons. Lineage: Eukaryota; Metazoa; Chordata; Actinopteri; Perciformes; Nototheniidae. The record is from RefSeq and is a predicted model, not a curated record.
GUCGGUGUGUUUUAUUGUGAACCCCCUCCCCGGACGUGUGUGUGUUAGCUGUUAGCUUGACGCCGGUGCGACAGAGCUCCGGAUUCUCUGCAGAUAAACAGCACUUUGUUCCUCUUCCCGUCGCUAAAGCCUCUAACAUGAGAGACAGGACGGUCUGACGGAGACUAGCCGACCCACCGGGGCUCCAACAGUGAUGCUAACUCGCCCGCUGAAUGAGAGCGCUGGCAGGGGGCGGGGCCUGGUGGAGGUGACUCCGCCUCCUGCUCUCCCAUUGGCUGAUGAGGUCACAAAUGAGACACGAACAGUUUCUCCUUCAGGAGUUUUCCCUCCGGCGCCCUGGAGCUCCUCUUCCUCCUCCUCUCCUCGUCCCCUAACUCCUCCCUCCUUCCUCUCCUCUCCU